AAGUAAAGCCCAAAUAAAGGGGUGCUAAACGGGAGUGUGGGAAGCCUGGAUAGAAGCUUCACUCUCGCAGUUGCAGCAAUACAGACAGCCAUGGUCAAAAGGUAGUUCCUCAGUUGUUCCCGCCGUUUCCCAGUAACCAAUCACAGCGUUUCAGAUGUGAAAAUGGGUUCGAAUUCGGAGACUCGAAGACUAAAAGAGAAUUCAAAGCCUCGAGCAGGAGGUGAAGAUAGGAUUAGUCGAUUGCCAGAUGCUGUUCUUUGUCACAUACUUUCCUUAAUUCCAACAAAGUAUGCUGUGAGGAGCAGCAUUCUGUCCAACAGAUGGAAGAACAUAUGGGCUUCUGUUCCUAAUCUGGACUUUGAAGAUAGAUCAAACCGUUGUAUCGCGGAAAAGAAAUAUAAGUGCGACACUGUUGGUUUUUCGACCUUUGUUGAUCGUGUGCUUUCCCUUCGUGAUUCAUCAAUAGACAUUAAAAAGUUUCGUCUUCAUUGGGUCUGCUCUAGUGACGAUUUCUCUCGUAUUGAUGGUUGGAUUCAAACUGCCGUCCAGCAUAAUGUCGUUGAACUUGACCUUCUAGUUGAAACGGAUUCUAGUGAUGAUUUUAUAUUUGAGUUUCCUCAAUGCAUUUUCAGUUGUAAAACACUUGUGGCUUUGAAGGUGUAUUCAAAUUGUAUUAGCUACAGUCCUCCUACAUCAGGGUGCUUCCUAAAUCUCAAGACCCUCUAUGUCGGAGCUGAAUAUCCCGAUAGUGACUCGGUGGAAAAGAUUUUUUCUUGCUGCCCUGUACUUGAAGAUUUAACUAUAAUGGGACUUCUUGGUCAAUAUGAGGUUUUGAAUUACAAGAUCUCUGCGCCUGAAUUAAACACAUUAAGGUUGAACUUACCUGUAGAUGUUGGAGAUCAUGAUCAGAACCACAGUAUUUUUAUUAGUUGUCCGAAGCUUGAAAACCUUGUUAUCAGGCAGGAUAUUUUGUCGAGUUAUAUAUUUGUGAACGUCAAAUCCCUUGUUAAAGCCAGUUUUACUCUCUUUUUCCAUAAUGCGGAGAAUCUACAACCCAAUUUCGAUAACCGUGCAAUUACCUGUCUGGCAGGAAUUUCUAAUGUUCAGUGUCUUUCUCUAUCAGCUCAUCAUUUUUUGAAGGGUCAUUGUCUACCGGCAUUUGAUAAUUUAAGAGAACUGAAGCUGGUUCUUCACGAUUGCUAUCAUUGGGAUUUGCUAACAGAGUUGCUCAAGAGAUCACCUAUUUUGGAAUAUCUUGUCGUAGAAUAUGAAGAAGAUAAGGAAUGUGCUGACGAUUAUGAUGAGCAUGAGUACUUAAAACAUGUCUUAUACUCAGAGCAUCGAUGGAGUACACCAGAGUCUGUGCCUAUUUGUUUAAUAUCACACCUCAAGACUAUCACUAUAAGGGGAUUCAAGGGAUACCCGCAUGAGAAGAAAGUGGCAAAGUAUCUGUUAGAGAAUGGUAAAGUUUUGAAUAAGAUGACUAUUCACAAUGGGUUAUACAAAGAGUUAACACAGAAAAGGGGUUCUACGACUUGCCAAGUUGAAUUGGUCUAAAUCCCAAAGUGGCAAAGCCCAGAGUAGAAAAGCCCAAAGGAAUGGCGCGAAAAGGGAGUGUAGGAAGCCUGGAAGCUUCAGACUUCACAGGCGCAGCAGAGCACAAGCAUCCAAUAUCCAUGGUUGAAACUUGAAAGCAUCAACUUUCCCAAUAAGUAGAAGUUGGGACACUAACCAAACAGCUUUGCAAGUCCAUAGUUUCUCAGUUCUUCCCGCUGUUUCCCAGUAACCAAUUACAGCGUUUCAGUGUGUUUCCAGAAAAUGCAUGGUAAUCGGGGUUGGGCUGUACAUUUCGCGGUGGAUGGUAACCGGAAUUUGCAUAUCUGAGAGGAACGGUGGACGGAAAAUGGGGAAAGGGACGGCGUUCCAUAACAUAAACUCACCCUAAAAUACUCACCCUAAACCCGAAAUCCGAAGCCCGAAGAAACCCGAAAUCCGAAAUUUGAAACCCGAAAUCCGAAACCAAAAUCCAAAAUCCGAAACCGAAAUCCGAAAUCCGAAACCGAAAUCCGAAACCCCGAAA
Molecule: non-coding RNA, 2080 nt
Organism: Malus domestica (apple)
Lineage: Eukaryota; Viridiplantae; Streptophyta; Magnoliopsida; Rosales; Rosaceae
Source: RefSeq, a predicted model, not a curated record